AUUGAACGCUGGCGGCAGGCCUAACACAUGCAAGUCGGACGGUAGCACAGGGGAGCUUGCUCCUCGGGUGACGAGUGGCGGACGGGUGAGUAAUGUCUGGGGAUCUGCCCGAUAGAGGGGGAUAACCACUGGAAACGGUGGCUAAUACCGCAUAAUGUCGCAAGACCAAAGAGGGGGACCUUCGGGCCUCUCACUAUCGGAUGAACCCAGAUGGGAUUAGCUAGUAGGCGGGGUAACGGCCCACCUAGGCGACGAUCCCUAGCUGGUCUGAGAGGAUGACCAGCCGGACCGGAACUGAGACACGGUCCAGACUCCUACGGGAGGCAGCCGUGGGGAAUAUUGCACAAUGGGCGCAAGCCUGAUGCAGCCAUGCCGCGUGUAUGAAGAAGGCCUUCGGGUUGUAAAGUACUUUCAGCGGGGAGGAAGGCGAUGUGGUUAAUAACCGCGUCGAUUGACGUUACCCGCAGAAGAAGCACCGGCUAACUCCGUGCCAGCCGCCGCAGUAA
Molecule: ribosomal RNA, 506 nt
Filed under: uncultured bacterium
Lineage: Bacteria
Description: partial 16S ribosomal RNA
Rfam family: Bacterial small subunit ribosomal RNA
Source: RNAcentral